UGCACCCUGGCAGUGGGCAAAGAGACACCGUAUUGGUGGUGGUGGCCUUAUAUCAGUCAGGGGCAGAGCAGAUAGUAGCCUUUCGUUCAUCCUAGCUUGAUGCCUGGCUUGGUGGCCAAAGCUGUUUCAUGCCUAGGGCACAUUA
This is a small nucleolar RNA of Mesocricetus auratus (golden hamster), 145 nucleotides long. Lineage: Eukaryota; Metazoa; Chordata; Mammalia; Rodentia; Cricetidae. The record is from Ensembl.